RNAcentral lists this long non-coding RNA (2438 nucleotides) under Malus domestica (apple). RNAcentral's name for it is "long non-coding RNA (MDOM_LNC020254)". Lineage: Eukaryota; Viridiplantae; Streptophyta; Magnoliopsida; Rosales; Rosaceae. The record is from RNAcentral.
CCACUGUGGAAAGGAGGGGCAUUGGACGAGGAAUUGCAGGUUAUACCUUGCAAGUCUUAAGGACAAGCCACAAGGUAUGGUUUAUGUUUUUAUCUUCAAUUCUAAAUGUUAGAUCUUCUAAAUAUUUAUAUUUGAUAUAAAGAGCUAAUCACUUAGAUAAUUGUAUAUAGGUGGAGAAGCCAAGUAGAAGAUGAACAAGCAAGGAAAAUGUGGUGAAGGGUUCGGCCACUAUAUUUUUGCUUACUACUUAGGAAGUUUGUUAGGCAUUAAAGAUAGUCUUUAAACUUUCUUAUUUUGUUAGGAACUUAUUAUGUGGCUUCAUAUGAUGGAAGAUCACUAUUAUUGCCUAAAUGUAUAAAGGUAUUUAUAUUAGUCUCUAAAUGUAUAGAGCUAAUACUUUUUGUAUUAAACAUUAUGAGUGUUUGAAAUAUCAUAUUAAUGUAAUGUGAAGAAUGCCUUUUUUCAAAUAUACUAUUUCCUUAAAGUAGUGUUAUGAAUUGAAGAUUGUCUUGUUGUAUCCUAGAUGAGAUACAAGAGUUAUAUCACUUAUUGUAAUGUGAUAACCAAACUUUAGAUUUAUCAAUUAUGGAUAGAUCUCACAUGUAGGACAUAAAAGGAUACAAUGAAUCUUUAGAUUUGGUUCCAUUUGUCUACCUAUGAGUUCUAUAUGAAUUGACAAAAGUCUAGAGAAUCCUUUCUUGAAGAAAAGGAAGAUUACAUUAUAAUGAUAUAAGUAAUAAGAAAAACGUUUCUUAUAUGGUUGUCACUUGAAACACAAUGAUCAAGAUCACUCUUUAUUCAAUUAGUAAUUUAGAACAACUAAUUGGGCAAUUUUAAAAGGAUUUUAAAAUGUCAAUUGUGUUAGUGAUUAAACCAAGAAAGAAGUGUCUAAAUCUAUAAAAUGUUUAAAGACUUUAGUCACUUAAUAACAAGACAUUAACUUAGUGAAGAUUGAAACAAAUAAGCUUGAAAUGUUUUAAAGCUACUACACAAUGUCUUCUUCCAAUAUACUCCACUUUUAUACAUUUUGAAUGUAUGAAAUGAUUUCUCAUUAAAGUCAUGAGAAAUAGUGGGAGGUGUGAAAAUGGAUAUAAACUUGAAUGUGAUUGGUUUAUAGUUGUCUAAAGAAUAAUAGUACUAGACUAUUAUUAAAAGUUUGUAAUUUUAAUUGGUAAGAGGACUCAAGCUCUUCAAACGUUAAAAUUCUAUGUUGUGUGACAUUCUAAAGAAUAGUCUUUGAAUGUUGGUUUCGUCAACCUAGCAUAAAAUGGUUAUAUGUUGGGAGUUGUCCAUCAUUCUCUUUUAUGAGAAUAAGCUAAAUAACUAAGCAUAUGGACACGUUGAUGAAACAAAAGGGAAAUAGUUUCAAAAUGAGUCACAACAUAUGGUUUAACAACAAGACAAUCGAAAUUCAACAUCUCAUGUAACAAUAUUGCUCUAUGUAGUUUUGAUAAAGAAUUAUAUCAACCACCUAGAAGGAAUGGUUGAGUUUCUAUAUCCUUAGUAGGAGCCAUGCUUCCACUAAAGACUUGGAUAAUUCUUAUAUGACUACAUUAAAGGUCUUAGUAUGGCUAAAACUUGAAGUAUGGUGUAUGACACCAUAUAAUUUAAAUGAAUAGACUUAAUGAAACAAGUCACACAUUUCAAAAGGAAUUCUUUUGUGUGUGAUUCAUUUAAGUAGUGGGAGCAAUAUGCAUUCGAAUCAAGAAAAUAUAAUUGUUAUUUUGAAUGAAUGCUAAGUUACAACAAGGCCAGUGGGAGUGAUGUCAUAAUUUGAGCAACAAGAUGUGAAUAAAGUCUAUUCGAUAGACUUGAUAAAACAUAGAUGUUACUCGAGAAAUGACAAAACAUGACAUGGUCAAUUUUGAAGUAUAGACUUGAAAUUGGACUUAUUGAUAUAGCAAGGCUAUCUCAAUAAUGUUAUAUGGGAAUUAAAUCUCAAAUGUUGUGGAUUUAAGAAAACAUUUUCCUAUGUGAUAGGAAAUCACUUUCAUAACCCUUAUAAUGAAUGUGUCACAAAAUCACAAGAGGGACACAUGUAUGGACUUGUGAAGUAGGUAUCCAAAAGUGAAGAACCACAGGGGUUGUCACUAUAAGAUAUUACUAAAUCCCAAGAUCAGGACCAAAGCAACUGAAAGAGUAUUAUUGCCUUUAAAGAAAGAAACAUCAGAGUGGGACUCUGGAAGCGUGCAUUCACUUAGGUUGUUAACCAAAGUGAAAAUAAGCCAUUUUAACAAAUGGAACUUCAUAAUGGAUGAAGUACUAAUCAUAUGAAUGAUUGUUAGUAUUGUACUACAAUGGUCUCAAGGUUGGAGCAAAGUUUGUAUAAGGUAUACAAACGAAAUAUAUGACGAUAUAUUGUUUUAGAAACUGCUUCAAAUGGUGCUUUGAAUGAAGGGGUUCUUAUAGAACCAAUGAUUGAAUCCAAACCAUAAGGU